Hypanus sabinus (Atlantic stingray) is the source of this 4439-nucleotide long non-coding RNA. RefSeq lists it as uncharacterized. The record is from RefSeq and is a predicted model, not a curated record. The transcript has 3 exons. Lineage: Eukaryota; Metazoa; Chordata; Chondrichthyes; Myliobatiformes; Dasyatidae.
UGUUGCCAGUUCAACCCAGCCAAUGAAUGCGCCGAGCACGUUCACCACGUUCCGGCCAAGUCCCGCCCAGCCCUUGUGAGAACAGGCUGAGCACAAGCGCCUGAGACAACUUGUACCAGAACAAAACUCAGUACGGGACGUCCUUGGAUGAGGGUGACUUGCUCCCACCCCAGUUCUGGUGGCUCUGAGGUGUCGUAUUAAGACCAAAGUAGGCAGGAGAUCAUGAUAGAGCCGGUGGGUGUGCUUAGACCUUCUCAAACUGCAAACAACUAGUUAUCCAAAUGGCUGCCUAAUCAUUAACCAGCACUUAUCUGCCAACCAGCCCACAGUUUGAUUUGCUUUUGCAAACCAUGAUGAUGAAAGUAUUUUACAAAUCCAAGUCCUGAGCUGGGUGUCGUUGCAUAAAAUGGAAGAACAAUGGAAGAGCCUUGAACACUGCCUUGAGCGUCAUUCUAAUCAGAGCAGGUCUAUGUCCAGUUGUGUGAGGUAGACACAGGUGCACAAUUGAAUAUUACCUCCCCCACCCCUCACUCACACAAAUUUCAACUAGAUAGGUUCUUGGGUGUCAAAUCUGAAGACCUAUCCCGAGCCCAACAUAUUGAUGCAAUUAUGAAGAGGGCAUGCCAGUGACUGCAUUUCAUUACGAGUCUGAGGAGGUUUGGUAUGUCAGAUACUCCCGCAAAUUUCUACAGAUGUACCAUGGAGGCUUACACCAGUUUCUGACAUGGAGGGGCCACUGCACAGGAUCGGUUAAAAAAAAGAUGCAGAAGGUUGUAAACUCAGCCAGUUUCAUCACAGGCACUAGCCUCCCCAAGAGCAAGGACAUCUUCAAAAGGCAAUGCCUCUAAAAGGUGACAUCCAUCAUUAAGGUCCCCACAUACUCUCUUCUCAUUACUACCAUCAGAGAGGAGGUACAGGAGCCUGAAGAAACACAUUCAGCAUUUCAGGAACAGGUACCUUCCCUCCUCCGUCAGGCUUCUGAGCAGAAAAUGAACCUAUGAACACUUCCUCACUAUUUUGCCCUGUUUUUGCACUGCUUAUUUAUCUUUUUUAUGUAUUUCUUAUUAUAAUUUAUAGUAUAAUUUAUGUAUUGCAAUGUACUGCUGUUGCAAAACAACAAAUUUCAUGACAUAUGUUAGUGAAGUUAAUCCUGAUACCGAUUCUGAUUUAGAUGUCUCAGCUGGCCAGCAGCCGAUACCGUCCAAAGCGAUGUGGUAAAAGUUUCAAGAGAGAAGCACAUGUUGGAGUAUUUCACACAGUAUCCAAGGGCCAGAUACAGAGCAGGAAACAUUCUUUUCCACAAGGCCUGUGGGUUCAGCAAAUGAAGUGGACUAUAACAACUGUGGCUCAAGAAGUCCAUACUUUUGCCAGGCAACAAUGAGAGAGAGGGCAAGGUAAUCUAACAGGACUUGAGAACAGAUACUUCAAAAUUCAACAAAGUUGGCCAAUCUUUCGAAUACUGACCUAUAUAAUUUUCCAAUCAUGUACCUUACAUAUCUCAAACAUAUACUUAAUGAUGCUUAUUAUUAUACAAUACUCUGAGUAGCCACUUUAUUAGAAACACCUGUACACCUGCUUGUUAAUGCAAAUGUCUAAUCAACCAAUACCUCUCAUAGAGGUAUAUAAGAUGAUGAGAGGCAUUGAUCGUGUGGAUAGUCAGAGGCUUUUUCCCAGGGCUGAAAUGGCUAGCACGAGAGGGCACAGUUUUAAAGUGCUUGGAAGCAGGUACAGAGGUUAAGUUUUUACGCAAAGAGUGGUGAGUACAUGGAAUGGGCUGUUGGCGGUGGUGGUGGAGGCGGAUACGAUAGGGUCUUUUAAGAGACUACUGGACAGGUACAUGGAGCUUAGAAAAAUAGAGGGCUAUGGGUAACCCUAGGUCAUUUCUAAGGUAAGGACAUGUUCAGCACAGCUAUGUGGGCCAAAGGGCCUGUACUGUGCUGUAGGUUUUCUAUGUUUCAAUCAAUCAUGUCGCAGCAAUUUAGUGCAUAAAAUCACGCAGGCAUGUUCAAGAGGUUCAGUUGUUCAGACCAACAUCACAUUGAGGAAGAAAUGUGAUCCAAGUGACUCUCACUGUGGAAUGAUCUUGCGUGACAGACGGGGUGAUUUGAGUAAUUCAGAAACAGCUGAUUUUCUAAAAAUGUUCACGCACAACAGUGUCUAGAGUUAACUGAGAAUGGUGCAAAAAACCCAAAAAAUAUCCAGUUCAAAAAGCCUUGUUAAUGAGAGAGGUCAGAGGCAAAAGAGUAGACUGGUUCAGGCUGAAAUGAAGGCAACAGUAACUCAAAUAACCAUGUAUUAUAAAGGUGAUGUGCAGAAGAGCAUCUCUGAACACACAACACAUCAAGCAUUGAAGUGGAUGGAAUACAGCACAUUAAGACCACGAGCAUUUAUUAGGUAUCUCCUGUACUGAGCAAAGUGGCAGCUAAGUGGAUAUUAAUAAUUAUUGUAUAAUUUGUAUGAUACUUAUGAGUAUAUUUAGCAAUGAAUUAUAUAAUUGUUAACAUAAUUUUAUUUGUGUUACUGGUAAGAAUGGUCAUCAUUUCAUUGGGGUAUAGGAAUGAUUUUUGGCAAAGUUAUUUUAGACCGUAUGACAUAGGAGCAGAAUUAGGCCAGUUGACCCCUCUAGCCUUCUCCAGCAUUUGAUCAUAGCUAAUUUAUUUUCCCUCUCAUCACCAUUCUCCUAUCUUCUCCCCAUUCCCUUCGACGUCCUUACUAAUCACAGACCUACUGUGUUUUAUGUGAUUCUUACAACGGGAAGUUACAUCCGUACAUGAGGGAGAAAGGACCGGUAGAAAAUGUUGACAGGCAAGGUGGAGCAGGCUGGGAGGAAUAGUCCAAACACAUGAAUAGCCUCUUUCUAACUCUGAACCUCAUGUGACGUUGUAGGUUCAAGUCCCACUCCAGAUAUCUGAUCACAAAACCCAGUCUAGUACUAUUGUAGCAAUUGAGAUAUUAUCUAAUGUAGACAUGAACUCAUUACCUUGAAGAGGAGCCUGAUCUUUGUUUUAAAUGGCAUCCUCCAUAUUCUGAGGCUGAAUGUCCUGGUUCUUGAUUCUCCAAGCUUGGGCUGGUUUUAUACAGCAAUUGAGUAGACUUCAGAGAGUUCGUACAUCACUCAACCUGACCUUUCAGGCCAGGAAGUCCACACUGAUCACCCAGUAACCAUUUUAUUAACCCCCUACUUUUAUUCUCCCCAAAUUCCCACCAACUACUGCCCCUUCAAGAUUUUACUGCUCUCCGACACACUACUGGUCAAUUAACCCGUCAAUCUACAUGCCUAUAAAACUAAGGAGCAGAAUUAGGCCAUUUGGCCUAUUGAGUCUGCUCCACCAUUUCAUCAUGGCUGAUCCCAGAUCCCAUUCAACCACAUACACCUGCCUACUCGCCAUAUCUUUUGAUGCACUGACCGCUCAGGAAACAAUCAACUUCUGCCUUAAAUAUACCCAUGGACUUGACCUCCACCUCAGCCUUCUACAGAUUCACCACUCUCUGGCUAAAAAAUACCUCCUUAUCUCUGUUCUAAAAGAUCGCCCCUCAAUUUUGAGGCUGUUCCCUCUAGUUCUGGAUACCCCCACCAUAGGAAACAUCCUCUCCACAUCCACCCUAUCAGCAUUCAGUAGGCUUCAAUGAGAUCGCCAUGCAUUCUUCUAAAUUUCAGUGAGAACAGGCCCAAAGCUGCCAAACACUCCUCAUGUUAACCCCUUCAUUCCCAGCAUCAUCCUCCUGGACUCUCUCCAAUGACCUCACACCCUUUCUGAGAUAUGUGGUCCAAAAUUGGGAUGUGGGAAGAAACUUGGAAACCUAGAGGAAUCCCACACAGUCACAGAGAGUAACAAACACAGAAUGGUGCAAGGCAGCCACCAUCUAUGGGGAGGAAUAGAAAGUCGAUGUUUUGGGUCGAGAUCCCUCGUUGGGACCUGAUGAAGGGUUUCAGCACAAAACAUCUGCUGAUUUUUCUUCUCUAUAGAUGCUGCCUGACCAGCAGAGGUCCUGCAGCAUUGUGUGUGUGUGUGUGUGUGUGUUACUCUGGGUUUCCAGCAUCUCCAGAAUCUCUUUGUGUUUAUCAGUCACAGGGAGAAGUGCAAACUCCUCACAGACCACCCCGGAGAUUAGGAAUGAACCUAAAGCUCUGAGAUAACAGUUCCUCCAACUGUGUCACCCAUCAUUUCACACUUGUUAAUAUUAAUGAUAUCACACUCCCUGAAAAUUAUUUAAUUAACCUCAUUUAAAUUGAUGGAUCCACAUCACUGGAUUAUUUACCUAAUGCUUACGUGUCCAUCAAAAAGAUUGCUACAUUGUCACUCCUGAUUUUCUAACGAUCCGAUAGGGACUGCUGCAGUUACUGUUUGCACAGAAGGGUUCAUUUGGCAGUGAUUCCAAUUCUGCAGGCUGUUAGCUACAGAAUCCCCAAGGGUGUGAGGAAACUUACAGCUUCCAGC